GGCCCGGUAGCUCAGCUAGUAGAGCAAUGGACUGAAAAUCCAUGUGUCGCCGGCGCGCUCCCGGCCUGGGCCACCA
This 76-nucleotide transfer RNA is filed under the name Bacilli bacterium. RNAcentral's name for it is "tRNA-Phe". It matches the Rfam family "tRNA". From Rfam's summary of the family: Transfer RNA (tRNA) molecules are approximately 80 nucleotides in length. Their secondary structure includes four short double-helical elements and three loops (D, anti-codon, and T loops). The record is from RNAcentral. Lineage: Bacteria; Bacillati; Bacillota; Bacilli.